Molecule: ribosomal RNA, 481 nt
Filed under: uncultured bacterium
Lineage: Bacteria
Description: partial 16S ribosomal RNA
Rfam family: Bacterial small subunit ribosomal RNA
Source: RNAcentral
GAUGAACGCUGGCGGCGUGCUUAACACAUGCAAGUCGAACGAAGCAUUUAGAACAGAUUACUUCGGUUUGAAGUUCUUUAUGACUGAGUGGCGGACGGGUGAGUAACGCGUGGGUAACCUGCCUUGUACUGGGGGAUAGCAGCUGGAAACGGCUGGUAAUACCGCAUAAGCGCACAAUGUUGCAUGACAUGGUGUGAAAAACUCCGGUGGUAUAAGAUGGACCCGCGUCUGAUUAGCUAGUUGGUGAGAUAACAGCCCACCAAGGCGACGAUCAGUAGCCGAGCUGAGAGGGUGACCGGCCACAUUGGGACUGAGACACGGCCCAGACUCCUACGGGAGGCAGCAGUGGGGAAUAUUGCACAAUGGAGGAAACUCUGAUGCAGCGACGCCGCGUGAGUGAAGAAGUAAUGCGUUAUGUAAAGCUCUAUCAGCAGGGAAGAUAGUGACGGUACCUGACUAAGAAGCUCCGGCUAAAUACGUG